Haliotis rubra (blacklip abalone) is the source of this 1058-nucleotide long non-coding RNA. RefSeq lists it as uncharacterized. NCBI's taxonomy places the organism in Eukaryota, Metazoa, Mollusca, Gastropoda, Lepetellida, Haliotidae. The transcript is spliced from 2 exons. The record is from RefSeq and is a predicted model, not a curated record.
AGUGCAGUUUCUACUGGCCUACAUAUAGAGGCUGAAUAUUGUUGAAUAGUUGGUAAACCACAAAGGAACAAAAUCCAAGCAUGCCAUAUAUUAUACAGGGACCUUAACAUUAUACUGCUUAUGGGGUUUUGGACAUGUAGCAUGUCCAUUCAUUAUUCAUUAGGAACAAUAUUGUUUCACAUUUUCUUUAGUCACCCUUCAAAACACCACCCUUUACACUAUGUUGUAUUGGGUAGAUCAGAACAGAAUGUGUUGACAUUGAAGUUUGUAAGUUGUUUGAUAUUGUUAUAACAAACUUUCAAGUUCGUAUCAAAGUUGGAUCUCAUGCCAUAUUUGUGUUCAGUUUAUCAGGAUAAUGAAGUUUGUUCCACUUAACACUCAAAAUAGCGAAUCUGUAAUAUUUUGAAUAUAUUAAUUAGGGAUCACUAAUACCUCUGGGGAUAUUGUUGAGAAGACUGAGAACACAAUUCCAUAAAACUAUCCCACAAAGUAUUCAAGAUCCCAGAGUGUGAUGCUGCACUGUGAUAACCACAAGCUCAACAGAAUGGGGCAAUUUAACCUAUCAAAGUUCAAGAGCCCAACCUGUGAUUGUGUUUAUCAGUGACAGUAGCAGUAGUCCAGAGUGCAAUAUGUUAUCGUUUUUGUCAUUGUAUAUUUUUUUUUAAUAUAGAUUGGAUUUGUGGAUACUAGGUUCUAUUUUUGUUGAUGCAAUGAAUGGAGGUGGUCCUUGUGUCUAGUUUGUCUAAAGAAGAAAUACUUCUUUUAGUGGCAUUUGGAAGCUGGUAUGAUGAAGAGCAACAAUUUUAGCGAUAGACAACCUCUUUAUUACAAAAGAUAAGUUGUCUUUCCAUAAAAAGUGUUCCUCUUAAAGAAGAAGGACAUAAAUUCUCAUAAUGUUUUAUUUAUUGUAAAGGGAAAAAGAGUUAUAUGUCCAAAGUUACAAGGAUGUAUUGUCCAGAGCACAUGUAACUGAAUGUUGUGGAGGGUGCCAUAUUGUGUUCCUAUCAAAACCCGAACCCAUGAAAAUUGGGAACAGUGUCCGGAAUGUCAAAGCGAAA